UACAGAGGGUGCGAGCGUUGUUCGGAAUUAUUGGGCGUAAAGGGCGCGUAGGCGGUGCGGUAAGUCACCUGUGAAAUCUCCUGGCUCAACUGGGAGCUUGCAGGCGAAACUGCCGUGCUGGAGUGUGGGAGAGGUGCGUGGAAUUCCCGGUGUAGCGGUGAAAUGCGUAGAUAUCGGAAGGAACACCUGUGGCGAAAGCGGCUCACUGGACCAUUACUGACGCUGAUGCACGAAAGCUAGGGGAGCAAACAGG
This 253-nucleotide ribosomal RNA is filed under the name uncultured bacterium. RNAcentral's name for it is "partial 16S ribosomal RNA". It matches the Rfam family "Bacterial small subunit ribosomal RNA", at positions 524 to 776 of the family's 1533-position model. The record is from RNAcentral.